GAUGAACGCUGGCGGCGUGCCUAAUACAUGCAAGUCGAGCGAACAGACGAGGAGCUUGCUCCUCUGACGUUAGCGGCGGACGGGUGAGUAACACGUGGAUAACCUACCUAUAAGACUGGGAUAACUUCGGGAAACCGGAGCUAAUACCGGAUAAUAUAUUGAACCGCAUGGUUCAAUAGUGAAAGACGGUUUUGCUGUCACUUAUAGAUGGAUCCGCGCCGCAUUAGCUAGUUGGUAAGGUAACGGCUUACCAAGGCAACGAUGCGUAGCCGACCUGAGAGCGUGAGCGACCACACUGGAGCAGAGCCGCGGUCAAGAGUACAACGGUGGGCAGGAGUAGGGGAGUGAGCGAUAUGGGCUCAAGCCUGAAAGAACAAUGUCGAGUGAGAGAAAAAAAUCUUAAGAUCGUAAAACACGGUUAGUAGGGAAGAAAAAAUGUGGAAGGGACAAUCCACGUCGAGACGGCACCGAAACAGAAAGGCAAGGCGCGUUACGUG
RNAcentral lists this ribosomal RNA (497 nucleotides) under uncultured bacterium. RNAcentral describes it as "partial 16S ribosomal RNA". It matches the Rfam family "Bacterial small subunit ribosomal RNA", at positions 28 to 507 of the family's 1533-position model. The record is from RNAcentral.